RNAcentral lists this unclassified non-coding RNA (205 nucleotides) under Hevea brasiliensis (rubber tree). The record is from RNAcentral. Lineage: Eukaryota; Viridiplantae; Streptophyta; Magnoliopsida; Malpighiales; Euphorbiaceae.
AGAAAUUAAGGACAAUUUUCGAGCUCUCUCAAAUGGGUUCCAGAGGCUGGAUAACAUCAAAGAUUCCAACAGACAAAGUAAACAGCUGGAGGAACUUACUGGGAAGAUGAGGGAGUGUAAAAGAUUGAUUAAAGAAUUUGAUCGUGAAAUUAAAGAUGAGGAGAACAAAAAUCCUCCUGAACUGAAUAAGCAAUUCAAUGAUGAG